AUACACUCUGGGGAUUGCUAUAAUCACUAUACUCCCCAGGGUAUGAUCACUAAGUUCUGCUAAGAGCUUGUUCCUGUUCCUGCUCUCUGGGGAAAGAGAGGUUCACCCACUGGAAGCUGGAUCCUGGCCUUGGGUCCAGGGUGGGUGGAGACAGCAGAGACCCCGGCGCAGUUGCAUCGCUGGAAGUGGGGUCUGCAGUGCUGAUGGUGUCGAUUGGAGUGCUUGGAGUCCUCAGCGAGCACUAGGAGCAUCGAUUGGCGGAGGUACUCAGUCGGAGUGCCAGCUGUCCGUCACAAUCAGUCAGUCUGUCUGUCAGUAUAUCAAUCAGUCAGUAUAUCAGUCAGUUAGUCAGUCAGUAUUGUGACAAAGUGCCCUUCGCCACUUUUGCCUGGAGGGGACUACUGGCUAUCCUCCUGCCUUCCGACUAUGGCCCAUGUGCUGAUAGCGGUAUUUUCCCCUGCAGAAAGGUUUAUUUGUGUAUUCCUGCUGGGGCGUUCUGGACUUUUAGUAUGAUAGGAGUUAUGUAUUUUUGUAUCCUUUUGUGUUUUACUGGGAACAUGUGCUCAAUGGAGUCUGUCUCUAUUCCUGGAUAAUUGGAUUACUUUCCCCAUUGUCUCCAGGAUAGAGGGCUCUGUAAAACCGGUUUGGGCCAGAUAUCCAUGCUGCCAGCCAGGCCCCAAGAGAUGCUUUACUAACUUCUGAACCCCUGGUCUGAUUCAUGCCAUUUUUUGAUAUGUUGUUUCCCUGAAUGGAUUGAUUGUGAAUAUGUAAUUUUUAUGUGAAUGUGAUGUAUAUUUUUAGAAGUUAUGAAUAUGCUGUAAAAACUGUAUUUUUCCUACCUGUGAUAAUUGAAUCUUCUAUUGUAUAAGAUAAUUGAAUCACAUGCAGAGGGGAUGAUUUUGUGUGGGCUGUAACCUCUGUUUUAUUGGCUACUGUAGAUAACGUGUGUGUCCCUCCCCUCCAUGGGAGCAGGGCAUAAAAGAAACUGUAGCUUGAAUACCUGUUGUUGUUACUUCCAGUAAAGUCUUGUUCCAGC
Molecule: non-coding RNA, 1036 nt
Organism: Pelobates cultripes (western spadefoot toad)
Lineage: Eukaryota; Metazoa; Chordata; Amphibia; Anura; Pelobatidae
Source: the annotation of a GenBank genome assembly